UACGUAGGUCCCGAGCGUUGUCCGGAUUUAUUGGGCGUAAAGCGAGCGCAGGCGGUCUUUUAAGUCUGAUGUGAAAGCCUUCGGCUUAACCGGAGUAGUGCAUUGGAAACUGGGAGACUUGAGUGCAGGAGAGGAGAGUGGAAUUCCAUGUGUAGCGGUGAAAUGCGUAGAUAUAUGGAGGAACACCGGUGGCGAAAGUGGCUCUCUGGCCUGUAACUGACACUGAGGCUCGAAAGCGUGGGGAGCAAACAGG
Molecule: ribosomal RNA, 253 nt
Filed under: uncultured bacterium
Lineage: Bacteria
Description: partial 16S ribosomal RNA
Rfam family: Bacterial small subunit ribosomal RNA
Source: RNAcentral